UUUUAUGAUGAUUCUUUUUUUGUUGCUCGAAGAUCGAGAUCGAUGUGAGCACAUGAUUUCUCAAUAGACUACAACGGUAUCUGAUA
Molecule: small nucleolar RNA, 86 nt
Filed under: Tetrapisispora phaffii CBS 4417
Lineage: Eukaryota; Fungi; Ascomycota; Saccharomycetes; Saccharomycetales; Saccharomycetaceae
Description: Small nucleolar RNA snR79
Rfam family: Small nucleolar RNA snR79
Source: Rfam by way of RNAcentral